This 459-nucleotide ribosomal RNA is filed under the name uncultured bacterium. RNAcentral describes it as "partial 16S ribosomal RNA". It matches the Rfam family "Bacterial small subunit ribosomal RNA", at positions 29 to 523 of the family's 1533-position model. The record is from RNAcentral.
AACGAACGCUGGCGGCAGGCUUAACACAUGCAAGUCGAACGUGAAGCCACCUUCGGGUGGUGGGAAGUGGCAGACGGGUGAGUAACGCGUGGGAAUCUACCUAAUGGUACGGAAUAACUCAGGGAAACUUGAGCUAAUACCGUAUGUGCCCGCAAGGGGAAAGAUUUAUCGCCAUUAGAUGAGCCCGCGUCGGAUUAGCUAGUUGGUGGGGUAAUGACCCACCAAGGCGACGAUCCGUAGCUGGUCUGAGAGGAUGAUCAGCCACACUGGGACUGGGACACGGCCCAGACUCCCACGGGAGGCAGCAGUGGGGAAUAUUGGACAAUGGGCGAAAGCCUGAUCCAGCCAUGCCGCGUGAGUGAUGAAGGCCCUAGGGUUGUAAAGCUCUUUCGACGGGGACGAUAAUGACGGUACCCGUAGAAGAAGCCCCGGCUAACUUCGUGCCAGCAGCCGCAGUAA